UUUUUAGACCUUCCUGGAGGAGUUUGCCACCUAACCGAUAAUCCACGAAAAACCUCUCCAGCUUUUGAAAAACCAGCAUGUAUACCAUCGUCGUCAGUCUACCUCUUGAGAGAAGUAUACUUAAAGAGUCCACUCACUACGUCAGAUCGAGGUGCAGCUAAUAAGCCGGGGGUCGGUGAACUACAAUAUUUACACAAACCACCCUUAAAAACUAAUUAUGAACAAUACUAUGAAAUUAAUAUUCAAAAUAGGAUUCAGCAGUAAUACCCAAAAGAUAGUGGGCAUGAAACAAACAGCUCUAAAAUGCGC
RNAcentral lists this ribosomal RNA (309 nucleotides) under Peltaster micropeltus. RNAcentral's name for it is "partial 12S ribosomal RNA". The record is from RNAcentral. Lineage: Eukaryota; Metazoa; Echinodermata; Asteroidea; Valvatida; Goniasteridae.